AAAAAAAUAAAUCCUAGAUUUCCGUGUCUAAUAUUUAACUGUUUGUUUUAUAUGAAAUUUUUUUAUAAUUAGUAUUUUUAUUGUUGUUAGAUGAUAAAACAUGAUUAAUACUUUAUGCGUGACUUGUCUUUUUAAAAUUUUUAUAAUUUUUUUAAAUAAAACGUUCUGUCAAAUGUUAGACACG
RNAcentral lists this microRNA precursor (184 nucleotides) under Oryza nivara. RNAcentral's name for it is "MIR812 microRNA precursor family". It matches the Rfam family "MIR812 microRNA precursor family", at positions 1 to 183 of the family's 205-position model. The record is from Rfam by way of RNAcentral. Lineage: Eukaryota; Viridiplantae; Streptophyta; Magnoliopsida; Poales; Poaceae.